AACUAAAUAUUCAAAAAUGAUUUUAAAUUGCAAAUUUAAAGGUGAAUAAAAUUCUUUAGUUU
Molecule: transfer RNA, 62 nt
Filed under: Rhizophagus aeneus
Lineage: Eukaryota; Metazoa; Arthropoda; Insecta; Coleoptera; Monotomidae
Description: tRNA-Cys
Source: RNAcentral